Molecule: ribosomal RNA, 216 nt
Filed under: Glomeromycotina sp.
Lineage: Eukaryota; Fungi; Glomeromycota
Description: partial small subunit ribosomal RNA
Rfam family: Eukaryotic small subunit ribosomal RNA (bases 40-216)
Source: RNAcentral
GGGUCAGUAGGUUGGUCGUGCCACCGGUACGUACUGGUCUCACUGAUUCCUCCUUCCUGAAGAACCGUAAUGCCAUUAAUUUGGUGUUACGGGGAAACAGGACUGUUACUUUGAAAAAAUUAGAGUGUUUAAAGCAAGCUAACGCUUGAAUACAUUAGCAAGGAAUAAUGAAAUAGGACGAUCGAUCCUAUUUUGUUGGUUUCUAGGAUUGACGUA